UACGAAGGGGGCUAGCGUUGCUCGGAAUGACUGGGCGUAAAGGGCGCGUAGGCGGCUUGCACAGUCAGGCGUGAAAUUCCUGGGCUCAACCUGGGGACUGCGCUUGAGACGUGUGGGCUUGAGUGGGGAAGAGGGUCGUGGAAUUCCCAGUGUAGAGGUGAAAUUCGUAGAUAUUGGGAAGAACACCGGUGGCGAAGGCGGCUUCCUGGUCUGCGACUGACGCUGUGGCGCGAAAGCUAGGGGAGCAAACGGG
This 253-nucleotide ribosomal RNA is filed under the name uncultured bacterium. Its description in RNAcentral is "partial 16S ribosomal RNA". It matches the Rfam family "Bacterial small subunit ribosomal RNA", at positions 524 to 776 of the family's 1533-position model. The record is from RNAcentral.